This 4511-nucleotide long non-coding RNA is filed under the name Triticum aestivum (bread wheat). Its description in RNAcentral is "long non-coding RNA (TAES_LNC022073)". Lineage: Eukaryota; Viridiplantae; Streptophyta; Magnoliopsida; Poales; Poaceae. The record is from RNAcentral.
UCUGCUUUGGCACCUUUCGGAUCCGCGCUGCUGCGUGCGAUGGUUCUAAAUCAGUGCAGGUCGUCGCCGCGGGAUAGUAGGGCCGGCGGAUUCUUCGCAUCGGGGGCCGGCUGGCAGGGGAGGGUCAGGAGGCCGGCAUGACUUGCUAACGAGCAGAGGUCAGCCGCGCUCUCGCUUUGACCGUUUGCUCUCUCUCUCUCUCUGUCUCUCUCUCUCUCUCUCUCUUCGAUUGUGUCAGGACCCCGGUUCUAAGUCACACCAAUCUAGCCUGUAACACCUCAUAUCACUUUGCGGCCUCACGCACGGUAUUCCCACGGGUGUCGCCUUACCAUGGCCCGGGACCAUUUGCGUCUUUUGGCUCACGUAUAUGAUAGUGUCGCUAGCAUCCAUAUGACAAAGAACCCGAGCCGACGUGACUAGUCGUGAACCCAAAGUGGCACUAACUUACGGGGACAGGCAUACAUGAAUCAACAUCUAGCAUGUCGGUCAGCAGCGUGCGAAUCUAGGCUGUAGCAUUGGGCUAACAAGACUCCGGGAACCCGGGCUAUAGCAGGCUAGGCAGGACUCCGGAUGUCACCGCGUGACAUUUCCCCGAAGGGACAGACAUGGGAACGAAGUGAAUCACAUGCCGGCCAGUCUAAGUGUUCCGGAGCAGUAGUGCUGGGCUAGCAGGACUCCGGUGAACCGGGCUGUAGCGGACUACUAUGGCUCAUGGAAGCACAAGACUACAUUUCCCCAUAAGAGAGGCUACCAAGGAUGAACAACUAGGUUGUCGGAUCCCACACAUACCAAGCAUUUCAAUCAUACACACAAUAUGCUCGAUAUGUGUAAAUACAACAUGGCAUCACAACAUAACUCUACGACUCAAGUAUUUAUUCAUUAGGCUCCGAAGAGCGAGAUAACACAAACAUGGGUCUCAUGACCCAACAUUCAGAGCAUACAAGUCAAAGCACAUGCGGAAGCUUAACAUGUCUGAGUAUAGACUUCUACAAAUGAAAAAGGCUGAGAAGCCUGACUAUCUACCAGAUCCCACCGAGGGCACAAGAUCGUAGCUGAGCUAUCAAGCUAAACGUCGAAGUCCACGUGGAACUACUAGACUGAAGUCUCUCUACAAAACAUAAAAUAAGCAAACGUGAGUACAAAUGUACCCAGCAAGACUUACAUCAGAACUAUCUACAUAUGCAUCGGUAUCAACAAAGGGGUGGUGGAGUUUAACUGCAGCAAGCCAGCUUUGACUCGGUGGCUAUCCUGAACUACGAUUGCAAGUAACUCUUUUGAGGUGGCGCACACGAGUCCAUAUAUUCACCAUACCAAUACGCCAUCCAUAGCACUCACGCUUAUCUUGCGCAUUUUAGAGUAUCCACUUUCACUUGUCUAUGAACUAUGCAAGGGGUCCAAGUUUCCAUAUCCGAGGAAUCCGGCUAUUCGAAUAGAUAAUGAUAACCCUGCAGGGGUGUACUUCUUCACACACGCUCUCGCCACUUAUCGCCCUGUACACGUCAUGUACCUCGGUAACCUUCAAGCGAAAGCCGGGCGAGAGUGUCGGCCACGACCUGACUAACCACACAAGUCUCUUGUCCAGGUUUAUCGCCUAUUCGGGUUCCAUCCGAGAGGAGAUCCGGCCGGGAUGUCGCUCACGGCCCCAAACGAUGUGUGCAGGGUUCCCAAGCCCACCAUCCGGGUGCCACUUGGUACACCGUGCCACUGUGCCUAAUCUGUCCCAAGCCCACCUGUACCGGGUGCCACUUGGUAGACUACUAACACUACCUACAAACACCAGAAACUAGUUGCAACUCCUGGACAGAUAUCGAGUUGAUUAAUAAGUCGAGAGGGCUCGAGUUACCGAAACCCAAUGUGUGGUAGUAACUGUUCAUGGAUCACAAACACAGAACUCAGUUCCUGAGGACGGCUGCAAUGAGACAACCCACCAUGUACUCCUACAUGGCCUCUCACCGCUACCUUUACCAAAUCGUGUUCACACACUUAGCUCUCAACGGUAGGACAUGUUCACCACGUUCCAAUUCAUUCCCGAUGAAUCAGACCUGACUCAACUCUAAGCAGCAGCAGGCAUGACAACAAGCAUGAAUGAGUAGGCACAUCAGGGCUCAAACAAUUCCUACUCAUGCUAGUGGGUUUCAUCUAUUUACUGUGGCAAUGAUAGGUCAUGUAGAGGAAAGGGGUUCAGCUACCGCAGCAUGUAACAGUUGAAAUGGUGUUGUCCUAAUGCAGUAAAAGAGAGCAGGAGCGAGAGAGUGGAAUUGUAUCGGAAUGAACAAGGGGGUUUUGCCUGCCUGGCACUUCUGAAGAUAUUAUAGCUCUUCAUCGGUGUCAUCGAACUCAUCGUCGUAAGCACGUCUAUCGAGAGGGGACGAAUACCGGCAACAGAGAAGGAGAGCACAAUCAAUGCAAUGCACAAUACGAUGCAUGAUCAUGAAAUGUCAAUAUGCUGUGUUUUGUCCUAAUGCAACUAGCAACACAAUUAAGUGUAGUUGGUUUGAACCCAAGGUUCAAAUUCAAACUCCACAUAUGGUUAUUUAAAUGCCAUUCAUUUGAUUUAUCCUAAACAUUAGCCAAAAGUUGUUCUAACAUGCAUGAAAAUGGUACAGAUGGAUAGAUUGGAUUUUUCUGAUAAUUUUUCAUAUAUAAAUUAUUUCAUUUGGAGUUAUAGAUAAUUUUCUAUGAUUUUUAGAAGUUUUGGGCAUUUUCUGGAAUUUCCUGAAUAAACUUAAAUCCAAAAAAUGAUUUAUAGCGUCAGCAUGAUGUCAGCACUGUGUCAGCGAGUCAACGGGCCAGCCAGGGUCAAAUCUGACCAGCGAGGCCCGCUGGUCAGUGAUAUAGAGGUUAAUCCCGCGUUGACUUGUACUUUGACCCGCUAUGGGGCCCGCAGUCAGUGUCUAGAGGUGGUCCAGCUGGUGUGGAUUAGUGCUAAUGACCUCGCCACGUCGGCUGUCACCGGAGUUCGGCCGGCGACGACCAAUACCGCGGCGGCAGCUCGCCCGACCUGCGCUACGAGCGGCGGCUGGACGCGCGGAGACCACAGGGGCGUAGCCAGGGCUCGCCCGCAUCCAGGGGAGCAGGUGGAAGGCGGCGGGGACGCCGGAGCAGAGCUUGCGGUGGCGGCCGGAGUUCGGGUGAGCUCGGAAUCGACGCGGUAGGGCACGGAAAGAGCCAAAACUGGGUGUGUUCGACUCCUGGGGGUGCACUGAAUGCAGUGGUGAGCUCAUACGUGUGCUUGCACGGCCGUAGCCACGAAGGCGACCUGGCCGGUGGUGAGGUGCUCUCGGCUCCGGUGAAAACGGCAGCUACAUGGAGAAAUCGAUGCGGGAAGGAGGGGGUUCGGUCCGUGAACUCACAGAGAAGACGAUGGGAUGAUCAGCAUGCUCGGGGGAGGCCUGGAGGCGACGAGACGGGGGCGGCGAUCUCGGCUAGCCGUGGUUGAAGAUGAUGUUGAGGGCGUCGCUUCGGGUCUCUCCUGGUCACGUGACUCGGCAAGGAGGACAGCGAGGUUGCUGCGGAGCUCACGGUCACGUCGGCGGGGUGAGGAGACUACGGUGGGCGCGUCGAACGGCAUCGGUGGCGAUGGUGGCGCUCGGGCAGCAGCGGGGAAGAGAGCAGAGGAGGAGAGGGGCGACCAGAGGGGAUGGGAGUUGACGAGGGGGUCGGGGGGUGCGUGGCAACGCCUAGGCGCGUCGGGGCAGCGGCGGGAAGCAGGAGGUGGCGGGGCGCGUGCUCGCGCGGGGCGGCCACGCGCGCGCUGUCCUCCUGGCGGGAGGUAGGUGGUGACUGGCAGAGGCCAGUGGGUUGGGCCUCUACUGGGCCGCCAGGUAAGCCCAGGUGAGGUUCCUCUCUCUCUUUCAUUUCUUGUCUGUUUCCUAUUUUCUGUAAUUUGUUUGAUUUGAUUUGAAGCAUCAAAUCAUUUAGAACUUUCUGUAAAUUUUUAUGUGAGCUCAGGAAACUUGUCCAAGGCCACAUGCAAACUUACAAAAAUUAUUUGAACGUUAUCUCUUAUAUAACAGAAAUAAGUCCAACUCAAAUAUGUUAUUAAUUUAAUUCAAAGGCCCAAAAUAAAUAUUUUAAAGCCUCCAAAAAUAUUGGUUUGAAUUUUAUUCUUGCCAAUAUUUUUCAAGGUUUAGCAGGAACAUUUUCUUGGGCUUCUUUGAGAAGAUUUUAAUGUUGAUCAUUUUUAAAAGGUUUCUGAGGCUUUGAAAAUUCCUCAAUUCAAAUUUCACUUGAAUUUAAACAUGAUGCAACACAUGACUAGCUAGCUCAGAGCAUACUAGAACUAGGGAUGUGACAGAUUGGAUUGCCUCUCCUUCACCGGUGGUGUGCUCUUGUCGGCUGCAAUGUCAUCCAUACUCUGGACGGGACUGCUGGUUGAGAUUCGUUCUCCUUUCCUGAUCUUGCCGUGUACCCUUGUUUUUCUAUGCCCUGCUGAUUUUGUGUUCUUCCUUGUAUCCGCGUCGUGCGCAGGUUGAUUAUCUUGCCAUCCUCUCCUGCGUCCACUGUCGCGC